AACUAAUUAGUUUUAAAUGAAAAUAAUAAUUUUGUAAAUUAUAGAUAAUUUUAAUUAUUAGUUA
Molecule: transfer RNA, 64 nt
Filed under: Ettchellsia sinica
Lineage: Eukaryota; Metazoa; Arthropoda; Insecta; Hymenoptera; Megalyridae
Description: tRNA-Thr
Source: RNAcentral